GAAUGUAUGAAAUUAAUACUGGCAAUUUUAAGAAGCAGGUAAUAAUCAGUUGCAUAUAAUAUAAUAUAAUUUAAAGACUAAUUCGGUGAAUCCAUUGUGCUGUAUUUAGCUAAAAAAUACUGGACUGACUGGACUAUACCUGACUCUUCCACAGUCCCUCGUUAUAUUUUAGUACGGGAGAAUAUGCCCGUUCGCGGGUUAGGCGUUGACAGCACACGUCGGAAAUGCGAGGGACUGUGGAAUCGUGUGUCGAAAAGUUGGCAGAAUAGUCGAAAACUCGGCAAUCGGGCAAAAUUGACAUUUUUCUCAAAUAUGAAUGAAUUUUUGGACGAAAGCGGGACGAUGCAGGCUUUAGAAAACUCUUGGAUGGAUUUAGUGUGACCCUAACCCCGAA
Paramuricea clavata is the source of this 394-nucleotide non-coding RNA. NCBI's taxonomy places the organism in Eukaryota, Metazoa, Cnidaria, Anthozoa, Malacalcyonacea, Plexauridae. The record is from the annotation of a GenBank genome assembly.